This is a non-coding RNA of Oncorhynchus mykiss (rainbow trout), 312 nucleotides long. Lineage: Eukaryota; Metazoa; Chordata; Actinopteri; Salmoniformes; Salmonidae. The record is from RefSeq and is a predicted model, not a curated record.
CCUGCCUCCUGCCUCCUGUCUCCUGGAAGAACUGAUAGAUUUCUGUUAGUGGUGGAAUGAAGAAUCUGUGGUUUACAUGCAUUCAAACUUCAGACUGGUUAGGGUCCAAUAUUUCAGGUUAGGGUCCAAUAUUUCAGGUUAGGGUCCAAUAUUUCAGGUUCGGGGGUAAUAUUUCAGGUUAGGGUCCAAUAUUUCAGGUUAGGGUCCAAUAUUUCAGGUUAGGAUCCAAUAUUUCAGGUUAGGGUCCAAUAUUUCAGGUUAGGGUCCAAUAUUUCAGGUUAGGGUCCAAUAUUUCAGGUUAGGGUCCAAUAU